UACGAGGGGAGCAAGCGUUGUUCGGAUUUACUGGGCGUAAAGGGCGCGUAGGCGGCCACGACAAGUCACUUGUGAAAUCUCCGGGCUUAACUCGGAACGGUCAAGUGAUACUGUCGGGCUAGAGUACAGAAGGGGCAACUGGAAUUCUCGGUGUAGCGGUGAAAUGCGUAGAUAUCGAGAGGAACACCUGCGGCGAAGGCGGGUUGCUGGGCUGAUACUGACGCUGAUGCGCGAAAGCCAGGGGAGCAAACAGG
Molecule: ribosomal RNA, 254 nt
Filed under: uncultured bacterium
Lineage: Bacteria
Description: partial 16S ribosomal RNA
Rfam family: Bacterial small subunit ribosomal RNA
Source: RNAcentral